GACGAACGCUGGCGGCGUGCUUAACACAUGCAAGUCGAACGGAAAGGCCCUGCUUGCAGGGUACUCGAGUGGCGAACGGGUGAGUAACACGUGGGUGAUCUGCCCUGCACUUCGGGAUAAGCUUGGGAAACUGGGUCUAAUACCGGAUAGGAGCCAUCUUUAGUGUGGGGGUUGGAAAGUUUUUUCGGUGUAGGAUGAGCUCGCGGCCUAUCAGCUUGUUGGUGGGGUAAUGGCCUACCAAGGCGGCGACGGGUAGCCGGCCUGAGAGGGUGUACGGCCACAUUGGGACUGAGAGACGGCCCAGACUCCGACGUGAUGCAGCAGUGGGGAAUAUUGGACAAUGGGCGCAAGCCUGAGGCAGCGACGCCGCGUGGGGGAUGAAGGCCUUCGGGUUGUAAACUCCUUUCGCUAGGGACGAAGCUUUUUUGUGACGGUACCUAGAUAAGAAGCACCGGCUAACUACGUG
This 466-nucleotide ribosomal RNA is filed under the name uncultured bacterium. RNAcentral describes it as "partial 16S ribosomal RNA". It matches the Rfam family "Bacterial small subunit ribosomal RNA", at positions 28 to 507 of the family's 1533-position model. The record is from RNAcentral.